AAAUUGAAGAGUUUGAUCAUGGCUCAGAUUGAACGCUGGCGGCAGGCCUAACACAUGCAAGUCGAACGGUAACAGGAAGAAGCUUGCUUCUUUGCUGACGAGUGGCGGACGGGUGAGUAAUGUCUGGGAAACUGCCUGAUGGAGGGGGAUAACUACUGGAAACGGUAGCUAAUACCGCAUAACGUCGCAAGACCAAAGAGGGGGACCUUCGGGCCUCUUGCCAUCGGAUGUGCCCAGAUGGGAUUAGCUUGUUGGUGGGGUAACGGCUCACCAAGGCGACGA
RNAcentral lists this ribosomal RNA (282 nucleotides) under Escherichia coli. RNAcentral describes it as "partial 16S ribosomal RNA". It matches the Rfam family "Bacterial small subunit ribosomal RNA", at positions 1 to 279 of the family's 1533-position model. The record is from RNAcentral. Lineage: Bacteria; Pseudomonadati; Pseudomonadota; Gammaproteobacteria; Enterobacterales; Enterobacteriaceae.